Molecule: ribosomal RNA, 253 nt
Filed under: uncultured bacterium
Lineage: Bacteria
Description: partial 16S ribosomal RNA
Rfam family: Bacterial small subunit ribosomal RNA
Source: RNAcentral
UACGUAGGGCGCAAGCGUUAUCCGGAAUUAUUGGGCGUAAAGAGCUCGUAGGCGGUUUGUCGCGUCUGCCGUGAAAGUCCGGGGCUCAACUCCGGAUCUGCGGUGGGUACGGGCAGACUAGAGUGAUGUAGGGGAGACUGGAAUUCCUGGUGUAGCGGUGAAAUGCGCAGAUAUCAGGAGGAACGCCGAUGGCGAAGGCAGGUCUCUGGGCAUUAACUGACGCUGAGGAGCGAAAGCAUGGGGAGCGAACAGG